RNAcentral lists this ribosomal RNA (851 nucleotides) under uncultured bacterium. RNAcentral describes it as "bacterial SSU rRNA". It matches the Rfam family "Bacterial small subunit ribosomal RNA", at positions 49 to 940 of the family's 1533-position model. The record is from RNAcentral.
UGCUACCUGCAGUCGCACGGGCAGGGCAACCUGUCAGUGGCGGACGGGUGAGUAACGCGUAGGGAUCUAUCUCCGGGUGGGGGAUAACGGUUGGAAACGACUGCUAAUACCGCAUGACACCUGAGGGUCAAAGGCGCAAGUCGCCUGGAGAGGAGCCUGCGUACGAUUAGCUAGUUGGUGGGGUAAAGGCCUACCAAGGCGACGAUCGUUAGCUGGUCUGAGAGGAUGAUCAGCCACAUUGGGACUGAGACACGGCCCAAACUCCUACGGGAGGCAGCAGUGGGGAAUAUUGGACAAUGGGCGCAAGCCUGAUCCAGCAAUGCCGCGUGUGUGAAGAAGGUCUUCGGAUUGUAAAGCACUUUCGACGGGGACGAUGAUGACGGUACCCGUAGAAGAAGCCCCGGCUAACUUCGUGCCAGCAGCCGCGGUAAUACGAAGGGGGCUAGCGUUGCUCGGAAUGACUGGGCGUAAAGGGCGCGUAGGCGGAUGGCACAGUCAGAUGUGAAAUUCCCGGGCUUAACCUGGGGGCUGCAUUUGAUACGUGUGAUCUAGAGUGAGGAAGAGGGUUGUGGAAUUCCCAGUGUAGAGGUGAAAUUCGUAGAUAUUGGGAAGAACACCGGUGGCGAAGGCGGCAACCUGGUCCUUGACUGACGCUGAGGCGCGAAAGCGUGGGGAGCAAACAGGAUUAGAUACCCUGGUAGUCCACGCUGUAAACGAUGUGUGCUGGAUGUUGGGCGACCUAGUCGCUCAGUGUCGUAGCUAACGCGAUAAGCACACCGCCUGGGGAGUACGGCCGCAAGGUUUGAAACUCAAAAGGAAUUGACGGGGGGCCCGCACAACCGGUGGAGCAU